RNAcentral lists this ribosomal RNA (677 nucleotides) under Stenotrophomonas maltophilia. RNAcentral's name for it is "bacterial SSU rRNA". It matches the Rfam family "Bacterial small subunit ribosomal RNA", at positions 80 to 754 of the family's 1533-position model. The record is from RNAcentral. Lineage: Bacteria; Pseudomonadati; Pseudomonadota; Gammaproteobacteria; Lysobacterales; Lysobacteraceae.
CUCUCUGGGUGGCGAGUGGCGGACGGGUGAGGAAUACAUCGGAAUCUACUUUUUCGUGGGGGAUAACGUAGGGAAACUUACGCUAAUACCGCAUACGACCUACGGGUGAAAGCAGGGGAUCUUCGGACCUUGCGCGAUUGAAUGAGCCGAUGUCGGAUUAGCUAGUUGGCGGGGUAAAGGCCCACCAAGGCGACAAUCCGUAGCUGGUCUGAGAGGAUGAUCAGCCACACUGGAACUGAGACACGGUCCAAACUCCUACGGGAGGCAGCAGUGGGGAAUAUUGGACAAUGGGCGCAAGCCUGAUCCAGCCAUACCGCGUGGGUGAAGAAGGCCUUCGGGUUGUAAAGCCCUUUUGUUGGGAAAAAAUCCAGCUGGCUAAUACCCGGUUGGGAUGACGGUACCCAAAGAAUAAGCACCGGCUAACUUCGUGCCAGCAGCCGCGGUAAUACGAAGGGUGCAAGCGUUACUCGGAAUUACUGGGCGUAAAGCGUGCGUAGGUGGUCGUUUAAGUCCGUUGUGAAAGCCCUGGGCUCAACCUGGGAACUGCAGUGGAUACUGGGCGACUAGAGUGUGGUAGAGGGUAGCGGAAUUCCUGGUGUAGCAGUGAAAUGCGUAGAGAUCAGGAGGAACAUCCAUGGCGAAGGCAGCUACCUGGACCAACACUGACACUGAGGCAC